UAGGGAAUCUUCCGCAAUGGGCGAAAGCCUGACGGAGCAACGCCGCGUGAGUGAUGAAGGUCUUCGGAUCGUAAAACUCUGUUAUUAGGGAAGAACAAAUGUGUAAGUAACUAUGCACAUCUUGACGGUACCUAAUCAGAAAGCCACGGCUAACUACGUGCCAGCAGCCGCGGUAAUUCGUAGGUGGCAAGCGUUAUCCGGAAUUAUUGGGCGUAAAGCGCGCGUAGGCGGUUUUUUAAGUCUGAUGUGAAAGCCCACGGCUCAACCGUGGAGGGUCAUUGGAAACUGGAAAACUUGAGUGCAGAAGAGGAAAGUGGAAUUCCAUGUGUAGCGGUGAAAUGCGCAGAGAUAUGGAGGAACACCAGUGGCGAAGGCGACUUUCUGGUCUGUAACUGACGCUGAUGUGCGAAAGCGUGGGGAUCAAACAGG
RNAcentral lists this ribosomal RNA (429 nucleotides) under Bacteroidota bacterium. Its description in RNAcentral is "Bacteroidetes bacterium partial 16S ribosomal RNA". It matches the Rfam family "Bacterial small subunit ribosomal RNA", at positions 355 to 776 of the family's 1533-position model. Lineage: Bacteria; Pseudomonadati; Bacteroidota. The record is from RNAcentral.